This 465-nucleotide ribosomal RNA is filed under the name uncultured bacterium. Its description in RNAcentral is "partial 16S ribosomal RNA". It matches the Rfam family "Bacterial small subunit ribosomal RNA", at positions 338 to 795 of the family's 1533-position model. The record is from RNAcentral.
CCUACGGGAGGCAGCAGUAGGGAAUCUUCCACAAUGGGCGAAAGCCUGAUGGAGCAACGCCGCGUGGGUGAAGAAGGUCUUCGGAUCGUAAAACCCUGUUGUUAGAGAAGAAAGUGCGUGAGAGUAACUGUUCACGUUUCGACGGUAUCUAACCAGAAAGCCACGGCUAACUACGUGCCAGCAGCCGCGGUAUUACGAAGGUGGAAAGCGUUAUCCGGAUUUAUUGGGCGUAAGGGGAACGCAGGCGGUCUUUUAAGUCUGAUGUGAAAGCCUUCGGCUUAACCGGAGUAGUGCAUUGGAAACUGGGAGACUGGAGUGCAGAAGAGGAGAGUGGAACUCCAUGUGUAGCGGUGAAAUGCGUAGAUAUAUGGAAGAACACCAGUGGCGAAAGCGGCUCUCUGGUCUGUAACUGACGCUGAGGUUCGAAAGCGUGGGGAGCAAACAGGAUUAGAUACCCCUGUAGUC